UACGUAGGGGGCAAGCGUUGUCCGGAUUUAUUGGGCGUAAAGAGCGUGUAGGCGGCCAUUCAGGUCAGCUGUGAAAACUCGAGGCUCAACCUCGAGACGUCGGUUGAAACCGUUUGGCUAGAGUCCGGAAGAGGAGAGUGGAAUUCCCGGUGUAGCGGUGAAAUGCGCAGAUAUCGGGAAGAACACCCGUGGCGAAGGCGGCUCUCUGGGACGGUACUGACGCUGAGGCGCGAAAGCGUGGGGAGCAAACAGG
This 253-nucleotide ribosomal RNA is filed under the name uncultured bacterium. RNAcentral's name for it is "partial 16S ribosomal RNA". It matches the Rfam family "Bacterial small subunit ribosomal RNA", at positions 524 to 776 of the family's 1533-position model. The record is from RNAcentral.